Molecule: non-coding RNA, 345 nt
Organism: Dipodomys ordii (Ord's kangaroo rat)
Lineage: Eukaryota; Metazoa; Chordata; Mammalia; Rodentia; Heteromyidae
Source: Rfam
GGAUGUGAGGGUGACCUAGCGGCGACAUCUGUCAUUCCACUGAUUGGCAACUCCAUUGAUGCACAACUCCAUUGACCACCAGGGCUGAUUGGGCGGAUCUGGCUAAGUGGGUCGUCCCUUUCCUCCCUUGCUACUCCACGUGGGUCCUUCCCAAAGUGGUGUGCUUGCUUGGUCAAAGAGAACGACCAUCGCUGAGAGAGAAAGGUUGAUCUUCAGUCUAGGGUAUACAAGUAGCUGGUCUCUCUUGCUGGAACCUUGGAACAAGCGCUCGAAGUCCAAAAUAAGCAAAAAAAAAAAAAAAAAAGCCAGGCUUAAAGGUAUGGCUAAAGUGGUAGAGCAUAUGCU